Suncus etruscus (white-toothed pygmy shrew) is the source of this 163-nucleotide small nuclear RNA. RefSeq annotates it as U1 spliceosomal RNA. The record is from RefSeq and is a predicted model, not a curated record. The transcript has a single exon. Lineage: Eukaryota; Metazoa; Chordata; Mammalia; Eulipotyphla; Soricidae.
AUACUUACCUGUCAGGGGAAACAUAAUCAGGAAGGUGGUUUUCCCAGUUUGAGGCUUAUCCAUUGCACUCCGGUUGUGUCGACCCCUGCGAUUUCCCCAAAUCUGGGAAACUCGACUGCAUAAUUUGUGGUAGUGGGGGAGACUGCGUUCUCACUCUCCCCUA